UAGGGAAUAUUGCACAAUGGAGGAAACUCUGAUGCAGCGACGCCGCGUGAGCGAUGAAGGCCUUCGGGUCGUAAAGCUCUGUCGUAUGGGAAUAAGCUCUGAAUGUACCAUGCAAGAAAGGAUCGGCUAACUUCGUGCCAGCAGCCGCGGUAAGACGAGGGAUCCUAGCGUUGUUCGGAAUCAUUGGGCGUAAAGCGGGUGUAGGUGGCUAUCCAAGUCAGGUGUGAAAGCCCUGGGCUCAACCCAGGAAGUGCACUUGAUACUGUUUAGCUUGAAUGUGGGAGAGGAAAGUGGAAUACCUAGUGUAGUGGUGAAAUACGUAGAUAUUAGGUGGAACACCGGAGGCGAAGGCGGCUUUCUGGCCCAACAUUGACACUGAGACCCGAAAGCGUGGGGAUCA
Molecule: ribosomal RNA, 400 nt
Filed under: uncultured bacterium
Lineage: Bacteria
Description: bacterial SSU rRNA
Rfam family: Bacterial small subunit ribosomal RNA
Source: RNAcentral